CUUAACACAUGCAAGUCGAACGGCAGCACAGUGUGUAGCAAUACACAUGGGUGGCGAGUGGCGUACGGGUGAGUAACGCGUAGGAAUUUGCCUUAAAGUGGGGGACAACUCGAGGAAACUCGAGCUAAUACCGCAUGAUCUCUACGGAGCAAAGCUGGGGACCGCAAGGCCUGGCGCUUUAAGAUAAGCCUGCGUUGGAUUAGCUAGUUGGUAGGGUAAAGGCCUACCAAGGCGACGAUCCAUAGCUGGUCUGAGAGGAUGAUCAGCCACACUGGGACUGAGACACGGCCCAGACCUCUACGGGGGGGCAGCAGUGGGGAAUAUUGGACAAUGGCGCAAGCCUGAUCCAGCAAUGCCGCGUGCAGGAUGAAGGC
Molecule: ribosomal RNA, 374 nt
Filed under: uncultured bacterium
Lineage: Bacteria
Description: bacterial SSU rRNA
Rfam family: Bacterial small subunit ribosomal RNA
Source: RNAcentral